RNAcentral lists this ribosomal RNA (603 nucleotides) under Selenomonas sp. oral taxon H64. RNAcentral describes it as "bacterial SSU rRNA". It matches the Rfam family "Bacterial small subunit ribosomal RNA", at positions 12 to 492 of the family's 1533-position model. Lineage: Bacteria; Bacillati; Bacillota; Negativicutes; Selenomonadales; Selenomonadaceae. The record is from RNAcentral.
UUUGAUCCUGGCUCAGGACGAACGCGGCGGCGUGCUUAACACAUGCAAGUCGAACGAAAUUAAAAAAUUAUCAUUGAGCUCUCCGAUGAGAUGGGAGCCAAGCGUCGUGACCGCGGAGCGGGCACCACGCGUUCAACAAGUGCAACACCAAGUCGAAGGGUUGAAUGGUAAUUUUUUAAUCUAGUGGCAAACGGGUGAGUAACACGUAGACAACCUGCCGACAGGAUGGGGACAACAUUCCGAAAGGAAUGCUAAUACCGAAUGAAGCGGAGGAGAGGCAUCUCUCCUCCGUGAAAGAUGGCCUCUAUUUAUAAGCUAUCACCUGUUGAUGGGUCUGCGUCUGAUUAGCUGGUUGGUGAGGUAACGGCUCACCAAGGCGACGAUCAGUAGCCGGUCUGAGAGGAUGAACGGCCACAUUGGGACUGAGACACGGCCCAGACUCCUACGGGAGGCAGCAGUGGGGAAUCUUCCGCAAUGGGCGCAAGCCUGACGGAGCAACGCCGCGUGAGUGAAGAAGGUCUUCGGAUCGUAAAGCUCUGUUGACGGGGACGAACGUGCGGAGUGCGAAUAGCGCUUUGUAAUGACGGUACCUAUCGAGAAGCC